UCGCCUCUUGCUCUCCCAUAAGAGGUCCAGCCUGCCCAGUGACUUAGUUCAACGGCCGCGGUACCCUAACCGUGCGAAGGUAGCGUAAUCACUUGUCUUCCAAAUAGAGACUAGUAUGAAAGGCAUCACGAGAAUUUAACUGUCUCCUUUUUCUAAUCAGUGAAACUAAUCUUCCCGUGAAGAAGCGGGAAUCCAAAAAUAAGACGAGAAGACCCUAUGGAGCUUUAAACACUAACCACCUGCCCAAUCCUAUAAGACCCCGGUUCCAAAACCAACGCAUCAUGGCUACGUGUUUUUGAUUGGGGCGACCACGGAAAAUAAUCAAACCUCCGUAAUGAAAACCUACAAGCCACAGCUUUAAGUAUCAACAAAUUGACAUCCAUUGACCCAAUAUAUUGACUAAUGAACCAA
This 411-nucleotide ribosomal RNA is filed under the name Pristimantis chiastonotus group sp. ABGD cluster 88. RNAcentral describes it as "partial large subunit ribosomal RNA". It matches the Rfam family "Bacterial large subunit ribosomal RNA", at positions 1816 to 2460 of the family's 2925-position model. Lineage: Eukaryota; Metazoa; Chordata; Amphibia; Anura; Strabomantidae. The record is from RNAcentral.